AUGACUCAAUCAGAUAAGACUACCCGCUGAACUUAAGCAUAUC
Molecule: ribosomal RNA, 43 nt
Filed under: uncultured Craterellus
Lineage: Eukaryota; Fungi; Basidiomycota; Agaricomycetes; Cantharellales; Hydnaceae
Description: partial 28S ribosomal RNA
Source: RNAcentral